CUGUAAUGAUGACUACUUAGGACACCUUUGGAUUAAUGAUGAAAAGAAUUGAAUGUUAACUGAGCAGC
Misgurnus anguillicaudatus (oriental weatherfish) is the source of this 68-nucleotide small nucleolar RNA. RefSeq annotates it as small nucleolar RNA SNORD58. NCBI's taxonomy places the organism in Eukaryota, Metazoa, Chordata, Actinopteri, Cypriniformes, Cobitidae. The record is from RefSeq and is a predicted model, not a curated record.